CCUGGUAGUGGGGGACAACGUUUCGAAAGGAACGCUAAUACCGCAUACGUCCUACGGGAGAAAGCAGGGGACCUUCGGGCCUUGCGCUAUCAGAUGAGCCUAGGUCGGAUUAGCUAGUUGGUGAGGUAAUGGCUCACCAAGGCGACGAUCCGUAACUGGUCUGAGAGGAUGAUCAGUCACACUGGAACUGAGACACGGUCCAGACUCCUACGGGAGGCAGCAGUGGGGAAUAUUGGACAAUGGGCGAAAGCCUGAUCCAGCCAUGCCGCGUGUGUGAAGAAGGUCUUCGGAUUGUAAAGCACUUUAAGUUGGGAGGAAGGGCAGUAAGUUAAUACCUUGCUGUUUUGACGUUACCGACAGAAUAAGCACCGGCUAACUCUGUGCCAGCAGCCGCGGUAAU
Molecule: ribosomal RNA, 400 nt
Filed under: uncultured bacterium
Lineage: Bacteria
Description: bacterial SSU rRNA
Rfam family: Bacterial small subunit ribosomal RNA
Source: RNAcentral